Molecule: long non-coding RNA, 4058 nt
Filed under: Marmota monax (woodchuck)
Lineage: Eukaryota; Metazoa; Chordata; Mammalia; Rodentia; Sciuridae
Source: RNAcentral
CUGUUCUUAGCCUCUUGUAUUCCAGACCUUUACCCCAGUUCUCAAUCAACGAUGCACAAUUCCCUACAGUAUACACUGCCCUUCCAGAAGGCCAAGGAGAUGGGUCCAUAGCAGGGGACUCUUCACAGAUAAUGGGGAACUGAAAGUGGAUCAGAAAGGGAAAACACCUGGUAAGCAUAUUACAUUCCAUCCCAUUUAAUGCAGGAAACACUAUUUCUUUAUCCUUAAGCCUCCAUUAUCUUCCUUGGUCCCCAGUACAUGGAAGAGACUGCAUAAACCUCCAGCCAAUGACUUGGUAAAUAAAUGAAUGAAAGAAGAAAGUGAGUGCUUGAGUUAAUGAGUAAAUGAAUGAACCAUCUAGAUGAGAAAAUGACUGCUGAAAAACACAAAGGGAAUUGCAAAACUUUGACAACACAUACAAAAAUCUGGAUGAAUUCUAUGACGGAGAAAGAUCAUCUCUUUAUAUAAUUUCCAUUGAUACAGAAUGUCCUCUUCCAUUUUUUAUUCUCCAGAACUCUAUAAAACAAGAACACUAUAAAUGAAUUAUUAAAAUAAUUCAUUUAAGGUAAUCUUUAAAAUUUAAAUGUUUUAAUAAAACAUUUAAAGUAAUUUUUGUAUGAUUUCUUUCAUUUCUCUAGCUACUAGAAUCUUUUUUUCCUCAGAAACUAUUUUUCAUUCGUAUUCUCUCAAGGAUCCCAUAUAUGGUUACCACCUUGCCUCGUCAUCACCAAAUUCAUUGAGACCUUGGUAAGGAAAGAGGCAAAUGGAAAUAAGAGAAAAAAAGAAGUGAGGAGAGGUGUUCUAGAUGCAGACAACCUUGCAGUCCUGAGUCCUGGGUCCACCAUUUAUCAGAACAGCUUUGCACAAGGUACUUAGCCUCUGGAUUAUAAUGGAACUUACCUGUGGGCAUGAUUAUGAGUAAUCACAUAAGGAAAGUACUUUGCAUCCUUGUUACCAUAUAGUUAAUGCUGAAUUUUAGUUAUCAUAUUGUAUUGCUAUAUUACUGUAUUAUAUUACAGCAUAUUGUAUAACAUCAUAUCAUUUCAUAUCAAUCAUAUAUGAUAUAUAUAAUUUUAUAUAGCAGUAUUAUACAUAGCAGUAUUAUAUAGCCAUUAUCUAUAAUAUAUAGGAUACAUAUUAUAAUGUAAUAUAUUACAAUUUACUACUUAUAGACAUUAUAUAUGUGUGUAUAUGUAUAAUUUCCAUAUAUGUGUUAUAUAUUACAUAUGCCAUACAGUAUAUAGCCAGCAGUGUAUUGACUAUGGCUUUGUUAAACACGUUUCUGAAUGUGUUGACCGAAGUCACAUAUUCCAUAUAGCUCUCCUCCAGUCAGCUCCUCUUUUUCUAUCCAGACUCAGACCAUUCUUUACUGCUCUCUUCUGUGUACUCUGAAGGUAGAAUCCGGGCCUCCACUUGGUUUUCCUCUGAAACAAGAAGGUAGCUGAACCAUUCUGACCUUCUCAAAGUGUGUCUCCUUCCUUCUCAUUCAGGAGAAGUCAACUGAGUACAGAGUCCUGAUAUGAGCCUUGCCUUUAGGGGAGGAAAACCACUUCCAAUCUCUUUGGUUCACCUGAAUUUCACCCUUUCCCUCCAGCAUCCCAAACUCCCACUCACUCACCUCAACAAGCCAGGUUUUGGAGUUGGUUGGAUGGUUACAGUUAUUAGAGCUCAAAGGUAAGUUCAGAGUUGAAUCUGGCUGCUCAUUUCACUCCCUCCACCGAGGCAGUCCAGGUCAGGGCAGUGGUAGGGAAAGGCCAGGGGUUUAGAGUAGCCUUCACUCGUCAGGAAGACAUGAUAUCAAGUUAGAGAAAAUAAAAUACGUUGACACAUAUAACUAUAUGCUCAAUUCUGAGCAAUCACUGUUGGUUGAUUUCUUCUCUCCUUUUCAUCUUCUUUAGGUUCUAGGAUCCCUAUUUUAUAGGGCAUGGCAACAUGCUAAAGGAGGAUGGAGCCCUUCCCCCAGCCAGAAGGAAUGGAGGGUAGUCAGCUUAUGUCAAGCAUGUAAAUUUUAUUUUCCUUUCCCCAUGAUUGCUUUGGGAAUGGGAAAGGGACCCAGUUCUGAGUAAUAAGAUCAAAUGGACAGUCUAGUGGUGGGUUCGACUCAGAAGCUUUUUUGUUUCCUGCUAUAAAGAGAAGCAGCAAGUUCCCUCCUCCAUGACUUAAAUGCAAUUAUGUAUGAAUGUGGUACCUGGAGCUGCAACAAUUAUUUUGUGAUCAUAAGCCAACAAUCCAAAGAGCAAAAGUAGAACAAUAACAGAACGUGGAGUUUUUGAUGAUAUUAUUGAAUUGUUGAAUUAAUUUAGAAUAAUCUAUAUCUAGACUUUCCAUGAUUUGUGAGAUGAUUAAAAUUUUCUAUUGUUGUAGCCAGUAUUUUUCUCUUACAUGCAACCAAAAACAUCUUGUGUCAUAUAAACACUAUCCAACUUGUGUUGUAAUUUGUCCAUUUUCACAUUUGUAAGUUCUAUUUUUAUUGAUUUUUGUAUUCCUAGCACUGAGUAUAAGACUGGCACUUAGUAAGACUUUAACAAUUGAUUGAAAAGGUGUUAAAUGCAGGAUUCAAUUUUAGGUUCUGUGAAACUCUGAUUGUCUCAUUUCAAAUUCAUUUCUAUUACUAGGAAAAAAGAAUUAUUGAGAAGCACUAUGAAAAAUGUCCACAAUAAAAACAUACAGUGUUACCUGUCAUAAAUAUAUAAAUAAUUACUGGUAUAGUAGCUACUGCUGAGAAAUGUCUCUUGAAGAUUCCCAGAAAUUCCUGUCAGUCACAUUAAGACCUGUCUCUGGUGAUCAUUCCUUCUGGACCCAAAUCAGUGUACAUAGCCAUGGAGUAUUUAAAGUGAUAUUGCUCUAGAAAACCUAGGAUGUGUGUUUUGUACAUUUAGUAAGGAUUUCUUUAAUAUCUUCUACUUACCAGGCACUUCAUUAAGCACUGGGGAUGAGAAAUGAACCACCACUCGGCCCUUAUCCAUGAAAAGCUUAAGUGCCAAUACAAAGCUACUGACCUACAUGGAAGUGGUCACAAAUCUCAUGCCCAGUCCUCUUAGAAUAGCAUGGUGUUACCACUGAGUUAACUAAGAAAACCGAAUUCUUAGGCAUUUAUCUUUGACGAUGUUCACAAAAUGGUGAAAUGGAAAUUUCCCAGGCUCAGCCUUCCUGAGCCGAGUCUGUUUUGGAAGGUGACUUUCUGCUGUAGUUGCACUCAGCCUUCAACAUGAACCUCUCAUCCUCUAGAGGCACUCCUAGCCCAGAGUGUGCCCUCUGCAUGGUUCUCCCAGAAUAGCUAUUCCAAGAGGAAAAGGGGUUUGGGUGAAUAUUUGAGAAGAUUAUGGGUAGUGCCUAGCUUCCCUACCAAUCAGCACAUACAAAGAAAAUACCAAUCCGAGCCCAUUCUCCUCCUAGCCAACCAAAGGAGGCCAGAGCUCUUGUGCUCAGCACCAUUGGUUCCCCAGGCUCAAGAGCUCCUCUCAGUCCCACAUGGAGUUUAAGUGCACAAAAACACCAAACUUAGAACUAUUAAUUUCCUCACUAAUCUGCCUUUUGUAGAAAUUGCUGGAAACUGGCUUUUCUAUCCCUCUCCCCUAACAUGAGCCUUCCCACCAUCCCUUAAAGACAUUUUUCUCUUCUCUCCUGUCAUUAAGCUUUUAGAGAUGUCCUGGCCUUCUGCUAGUUGCUCCAGUUGUAUUUUUUCUCCUUGAAGAGGCAUGGAUACCAAAGCCUUACUGGGAAUGAAUCCUAGUUCCUCCACUGAACAGCUGUCGGAUUCAAGUUAGGAUCACUCCCUGUGGCUCAGUUUCUACAUCUAUAAAAUGGAAAUUUACCACCUUUGCUCUCAGAGUUCCCAUCUUGGGCUUCCAGCUUGCAUCCUUGACCCCUUCUGAGCUGACCUCCUACAGUCACCCUUCACCACACAGACUCAUGUUUGUGGAACCACCAAGUGUAACCAUCGCUAUAUUCAAGACUCAUCUGCACCUGGUUUAUGGGAAAAAAGUUUGUGGGGAAAAAGUCUUAAAACUGUGUAUGUACUAUAUGUGCCUUUUUAUGUACAGAUGUUACACUUCAAU